UUUGCAAUUUUGAGAAGCCUAUUCUGGUCAGCGCAGGGGAGAGCAUGAACUGGAACAGGUCCAGAGUGGACACAGGGAGACCAGUUGGGAGGAUACUGAUGUCUGCUGAUGAACACAGUCUGAGGCCUAUUCAUGCUUUUCUGUGUCCUUUUGUGAAGUGGAAGUGUACUGUAUAGAUGUGCCGACUGGAGCCGACUUGUUCUUGUGCUGUUCAAUCUGACUCAUCUCCUUUGUAAACAGUAAGGUUAUUGAGGGCGGAGAUUCAGCGUUUGUACUUUUUCCUGUGUUGUAACUGCCCACGACACGAGGAGCACAAUGGGUACUGAGACUGUGACUACUGAAAGUCACCCCACGGGGCCACCUGAAACAUUUAUCGACACAGUUAUAUUGAUAAUUGUUGCUUUUGGUUUCUAGACAUUUGGGUGGAAGAUUUGAUCAUGCAAAGAAAAAGUUGGAUAUCUCAACCCUUACUACUCAAAGCAUGGUCUGUGGACCAGCAGUAUCAGAAUCACCUGGGAGCUUGUAAGAAAUGAAAAAUCUCAAAAAAAUAGAAAAUUAAAAAUAAAUAAAUAAAUAAAAGUUAACCAAAAAAAAAAAAAAGGCAGGGGACACCUGGGUGGUUCAGUCGGUUAAGUGUCCGGCUCUUGAUUUCCACUCAGGUCAUGAUCUCAGGGUCGUGAGAUUGAGCCCCACUUGGGGGCUCAGGGCUGGAUGUGGAGUCUGCUUGAGAUGCUCUCUCUCCCUUUCCCGCUGCCCCUCCCCCCCCCCGCUUGCAUACGCAUUCUCUCUCAAAAAUAAAUAAAUAAGUAAAAGUUAAAAAAAAAAAAAGAAAGAAAAACUCAGACUCCCCUCCCCCCAGCCCAGACCCGUUCAAUCAGUAUCUUCAUUUUUAACAUGAUCCCCAGGGGAUUCGGGCCCAGUUUAAGAAACACCUGGCUGUGUAAACAACACUGCUCCCCACUCCUGUGGGUAAUAUUUGUACCUCAGGUAUGGCAUUUAUCACAUCCUGUCCGGUGUGGAAGACUGCUUAUGGUUUCUUUCCCUGCCAGGCCGGGCAUUCCUGGAAGGCAGGGGCUGAGCAUUGUGUUCGGCUCCGGAGCUUCCAUAGCAUCAGGCACAAUGACAGGAAGCAGAAGACCAAGGUUUUGGUCCUGGUUCUGCCACUGACAAUCUCUGUGUGUUUUAUCUUCUGAGAGAAGAUUUUCCGUCCUUGGGGCGCCUGGGUGGCUCAGUCGUUGGGCGUCUGCCUUCGGCUCAGGUCAUGAUCCCGGGGUCCUGGGAUCGAGCCCCUCAUCGGGCUCCCUGCUCAGCGGGAAGCCUGCUUCUCCCUCUCCCACUCCCCCUGCUUGUGUUCCCUCUCUCGCUGUGUCUCUGUCUGUCAAAUAAAUAAAUAAAAUCUUAAAAAAAAAAAAAAUUUUCCGUCCUUCCAAAGGACCCACCCCAAAUCUGACGUUGGCAAGGCUGAAGAUGGUGGCAGAUUUCUAUGCACCGUUUCCUUCCUAUCCACCGUUUCGUCUAUAGGAGGAGGCACAUGAUGGGUGGAAGGAGGAAGGCAGUAAUCAAUUCCAGAGUGGAUGAGGCCCGGGCAUAUAAGGAACGUGGGCGGAAGUUACUCCCAACAGCUGCCCUAAGAGGGAACCAAGGCAGACAGAAACCAGCCGCCUCUGCACCAUCACCCUUUGAAGUAGGCACUCGUGCUGCUCCUAUAUUUACAGCUGGUAGGUGCUGACCGAGGACUGCUGCUUCUGAGCCCUAAGGAUUCGGAUAUGAAGAUUUGCUUCCUGUCCCAGAUAAACUUACCCUGGAUUCGACCCAACCCUGCCUGACAAGUGAGUGGCCUGGCAGCCGGGCACGGCUGGGGAACGUGAGCUCCAACCUGCUCUCUGCUGGAGUCAGAUUUCAGUGGGAG
Mirounga angustirostris (Northern elephant seal) is the source of this 1909-nucleotide long non-coding RNA. RefSeq lists it as uncharacterized. The record is from RefSeq and is a predicted model, not a curated record. The transcript is spliced from 3 exons. Lineage: Eukaryota; Metazoa; Chordata; Mammalia; Carnivora; Phocidae.